AUUGAACGCUGGCGGCAUGCCUUACACAUGCAAGUCGAACGGCAGCAUGGAGAGCUUGCUCUCUGAUGGCGAGUGGCGAACGGGUGAGUAAUGCAUCGGAACGUACCGUGUAAUGGGGGAUAACGUAGCGAAAGUUACGCUAAUACCGCAUACGACCUGAGGGUGAAAGCAGGGGAUCGCAAGACCUUGCGUUAUACGAGCGGCCGAUGUCAGAUUAGCUAGUUGGUGAGGUAAAGGCUCACCAAGGCGACGAUCUGUAGCGGGUCUGAGAGGAUGAGCCGACACACUGGGACGGAGACACGGCCCGGACUCCUACGGGAGGCAGCAGUGGGGAAUUUUGGACAAUGGGGGCAACCCUGAUCCAGCCAUGCCGGGCGAGUGAAGAAGGCCUUCGGGUUGUAAAGCUCUUUCGACCGGGAAGAAAUCGCACAGGCUAAUACUCUGUGUGGAUGACGGUACCGGCAUAAGAAGCACCGGCCAACUACGUGCCAGCCGCCGCCGUAA
RNAcentral lists this ribosomal RNA (504 nucleotides) under uncultured bacterium. RNAcentral describes it as "partial 16S ribosomal RNA". It matches the Rfam family "Bacterial small subunit ribosomal RNA", at positions 29 to 523 of the family's 1533-position model. The record is from RNAcentral.